CAUUUGGGAAGGAUCGGUGGCGGAGGAUGCAGUGAAAAUUAUUAAAUGUUAAUAGAAAAGUGGUUAAGUAAAUCGUGAAAGAUGUCAACGCAGGCGUAAAUGCAGUUUGUUUUGUUACUUGAUCUACGGCUAUUUCAUUGCCAAAGCUCCUGAUAACAGAUCAAAGCAGAUGGAUCGGGCAUACAGAGUCGCCAUUUAACAUUAAAUAUCUUCUUGAUCGGCAAACGCAUCAAACACCAAGUGUUUCUCUUCCAACAGCACGCACCAUCGGUGGAGCAAGCAGCUAACGCUUUGAUCGCCAGUACGCGCCAUCAAGAAUUGAUAUUUUGCC
Long non-coding RNA from Anopheles arabiensis, 331 nucleotides. RefSeq lists it as uncharacterized. The transcript is spliced from 3 exons. NCBI's taxonomy places the organism in Eukaryota, Metazoa, Arthropoda, Insecta, Diptera, Culicidae. The record is from RefSeq and is a predicted model, not a curated record.